ACUCCUACGGGAGGCAGCAGUGGGGAAUAUUGGACAGUGGGGGCAACCCUGAUCCAGCCAUGCCGCGUGAGUGAUGAAGGCCCUAGGGUUGUAAAGCUCUUUUGUGCGGGAAGAUAAUGACGGUACCGCAAGAAUAAGCCCCGGCUAACUUCGUGCCAGCAGCCGCGGUAAUACGAAGGGGGCUAGCGUUGCUCGGAAUCACUGGGCGUAAAGGGUGCGUAGGCGGGUCUUUAAGUCAGGGGUGAAAUCCUGGAGCUCAACUCCAGAACUGCCUUUGAUACUGAGGAUCUUGAGUCCGGAAGAGGUGAGUGGAACUGCGAGUGUAGAGGUGAAAUUCGUAGAUAUUCGCAAGAACACCAGUGGCGAAGGCGGCUCACUGGUCCGGUACUGACGCUGAGGCACGAAAGCGUGGGGAGCAAACAGGAUUAGAUACCCGUGUAGUCCC
RNAcentral lists this ribosomal RNA (445 nucleotides) under uncultured organism. Its description in RNAcentral is "partial 16S ribosomal RNA". It matches the Rfam family "Bacterial small subunit ribosomal RNA", at positions 335 to 797 of the family's 1533-position model. The record is from RNAcentral.